UGUUAAUGUAGCUUAAAUAAACAAAGCAAGGCACUGAAAAUGCCUAGAUGAGUACUGCCACUCCAUAAACA
RNAcentral lists this transfer RNA (71 nucleotides) under Platygonus compressus. Its description in RNAcentral is "tRNA-Phe". It matches the Rfam family "tRNA". From Rfam's summary of the family: Transfer RNA (tRNA) molecules are approximately 80 nucleotides in length. Their secondary structure includes four short double-helical elements and three loops (D, anti-codon, and T loops). The record is from RNAcentral. Lineage: Eukaryota; Metazoa; Chordata; Mammalia; Artiodactyla; Tayassuidae.